UACGGAGGAUGCAAGCGUUAUCCGGAUUUAUUGGGUUUAAAGGGUGCGCAGGUGGCUUAGUAAGUCAGUGGUGAAAGUCUGCCGCUUAACGGUAGGACUGCCAUUGAUACUGCUAGGCUUGAGUUUGGAUGAGGUAGGCGGAAUGUGUAGUGUAGCGGUGAAAUGCAUAGAUAUUACACAGAACACCGAUUGCGAAGGCAGCUUAAUAAUCCGCAACUGAAACGGAGGCAAGAAAGCGGGGGGAUCAAACAGGAUGAGAUACCAGCGUAGUCC
RNAcentral lists this ribosomal RNA (273 nucleotides) under uncultured bacterium. RNAcentral describes it as "partial 16S ribosomal RNA". It matches the Rfam family "Bacterial small subunit ribosomal RNA", at positions 524 to 796 of the family's 1533-position model. The record is from RNAcentral.